RNAcentral lists this ribosomal RNA (433 nucleotides) under uncultured bacterium. Its description in RNAcentral is "partial 16S ribosomal RNA". It matches the Rfam family "Bacterial small subunit ribosomal RNA", at positions 29 to 507 of the family's 1533-position model. The record is from RNAcentral.
AGCGAACGCUGGCGGCAGGCCUAACACAUGCAAGUCGAACGAACUCUUCGGAGUUAGUGGCGGACGGGUGAGUAACACGUGGGAACGUGCCUUUUGGUUCGGAAUAACUCAGGGAAACUUGUGCUAAUACCGAAUGUGCCCUUCGGGGGAAAGAUUUAUCGCCAUUAGAGCGGCCCGCGUCUGAUUAGCUAGUUGGUUAGGUAACGGCUCACCAAGGCGACGAUCAGUAGCUGGUCUGAGAGGAUGACCAGCCACACUGGGACUGAGACACGGCCCAGACUCCUACGGGAGGCAGCAGUGGGGAAUCUUGCGCAAUGGGCGAAAGCCUGACGCAGCCAUGCCGCGUGAAUGAUGAAGGUCUUAGGAUUGUAAAAUUCUUUCACCGGGGACGAUAAUGACGGUACCCGGAGAAGAAGCCCCGGCUAACUUCGUG